GAAAGGGUUCAUCUAGUUCAAGCUGUAGUGCUCUUUGUCAUUCUCAGUCCAGUACAAUGUUCCUGCAUGCUGGAAUACUGCUAACAGCCUUUGCAGGCUGCAUCUCUGCAAAUGCAAUCACUUCAAACAGUGCUGUGGUCAAAACAGUGGAGGACUUUACCAUAAGCCUCUCCUGUAACUACUCCUCGAGUAACUAUCCACAGUGGUAUCGGCAGUAUCCAAGAUCAGAACCCCAGUUUCUCAUGAGUGUGUAUAGCUCUACUGAAGCUCAGAAAUCAAGCUCUGAUCCUCGCCUGUCCGGGAUACUGAACAAAGAGAAAACUCAAAUCUUCCUGAACAUCAACUCUGCUAAACUCUCAGACUCUGCAGUGUACUACUGUGCCAUGGAGCCCACAGUGAAACAAACAGACUCACUGUCAUACAAGAACCACUGACUCACAGAGUAAGACAAGCUACU
Non-coding RNA from Clupea harengus (Atlantic herring), 457 nucleotides. Lineage: Eukaryota; Metazoa; Chordata; Actinopteri; Clupeiformes; Clupeidae. The record is from the annotation of a RefSeq genome assembly.